This 365-nucleotide ribosomal RNA is filed under the name uncultured bacterium. Its description in RNAcentral is "bacterial SSU rRNA". It matches the Rfam family "Bacterial small subunit ribosomal RNA", at positions 282 to 659 of the family's 1533-position model. The record is from RNAcentral.
GGUAGCCGGCCUGAGAGGGUGACCGGCCACACUGGGACUGAGAUACGGCCCAGACUCCUACGGGAGGCAGCAGUGGGGAAUAUUGCACAAUGGGCGCAAGCCUGAUGCAGCGACGCCGCGUGGGGGAUGACGGCCUUCGGGUUGUAAACCUCUUUCAGCAGGGACGAAGGGUGACUGACGGUACCUGUAGAAGAAGGACCGGCCAACUACGUGCCAGCAGCCGCGGUAAUACGUAGGGUCCGAGCGUUGUCCGGAAUUACUGGGCGUAAAGAGCUCGUAGGUGGUUUGUCACGUUGUUCGUGAAAACCCACAGCUUAACUGUGGGCGUGCGGGCGAUACGGGCAGACUGGAGUACUGCAGGGGAG